RNAcentral lists this ribosomal RNA (253 nucleotides) under uncultured bacterium. RNAcentral describes it as "partial 16S ribosomal RNA". It matches the Rfam family "Bacterial small subunit ribosomal RNA", at positions 524 to 776 of the family's 1533-position model. The record is from RNAcentral.
UACGUAGGGCGCAAGCGUUAUCCGGAAUUAUUGGGCGUAAAGAGCUCGUAGGCGGUUUGUCGCGUCUGCCGUGAAAAUCCGAGGCUCAACCUCGGACUUGCAGUGGGUACGGGCAGACUAGAGUGUGGUAGGGGAGACUGGAAUUCCUGGUGUAGCGGUGGAAUGCGCAGAUAUCAGGAGGAACACCGAUGGCGAAGGCAGGUCUCUGGGCCAUUACUGACACUGAGGAGCGAAAGCGUGGGGAGCGAACAGG